This is a non-coding RNA of Pelobates cultripes (western spadefoot toad), 315 nucleotides long. NCBI's taxonomy places the organism in Eukaryota, Metazoa, Chordata, Amphibia, Anura, Pelobatidae. The record is from the annotation of a GenBank genome assembly.
CAGGAAUCCAGGAUCUACAGUACGUGAUAAGGCCCAGGAAGGCGUGAAGGGCCUGGUGAGUAGAUGGAAGGGGAAGAUUUGUGAUAGCAUGAACUCUAUCUCUUGUCAGAUGAUGGGUGCCAUGGGAAAGACAAUGUCCCAAGAAGACCACGGCCCACCACUGGAGCUUAGCUUUGGAGGCUUUGCAACCCUCUUCUGCGAGGAAACAGAUAAGAUCUACAGAAUGGCGUUCAGCUGUUGGUCAUCUGCACAGAGCAGCAAAUCAUCAACAUACUGGAGUAGGACCACAUCUGGAUGUGAUUUCUGCCAGGGUUC